AAGUGGUGCUCACACUGAUAUGGCUUGCUGUCAAAGGAGAUUGACUGUUCGUGUGCUUCCUCACGAGAGAAUUUGGACCAACGAGCUUUCUCCAAGUCGAUGGCUCUUGAGAAGACCGACUCUUAAUUUCCUCUGAUCUCUUCAAAAACUUCGAGUGGGCUUGUCAAGGCUGUCUACAGGUAAAGAAAGAGGACAAUAUAUAAGUUGCAGGCUUUCUUCCAGUAGCAUUCGAUGUAUCAAUAAAAUGUUUAUUGCUUUCAUUUGCUUUCUGUUCCAGGAAUAUGUGGCACAGUUGAACCUUCUGAGCCCUUACCAUUUCUUCCCUGUUACUCUGCUCUUCACCCAAAGUGGAAUUCAAACUUUUGACAAUAAACAAAUCAUUUCUCGGAAUCUCUGGAAUGGUACUUAAAUUUGUAUCAACCCUGGGCUGCACAUUUACUUCUCCUGGUUCUCUGUGAUCUGAUGAAUAACCUUGUUGAUCAGACUCCUGAUUACACAUGCCAUUUGACCUAUACAAAGAAGAUCGUUCUUUGAUUGGAUUUCUACAGGCUGUAGACUUUGGCACCCGAUCAUUUUUUUUUUCUUGGGUUGGGCAUAGAAGUUAAAGUUAAAGAAGUUUUCUCCCUGAAUCUCUGGUGUACCCACACAGUUUGUAGAUUGAACAUUGUCAAUGAUAGCAUUAUCCUCACAGUCUGCAAUUGCCUCGCCAAGGCAUGGAUGAAUCAAGAUUAAAGCCAUCCAACGUGGGUAAUUUAAACAUCUGAAACUAUACCAUUAUGUUGUAUCAAAUAAAUUUAUGACUGUAUUAUGAGUCCUCCCAUCGCACUCGGAUCAUCCACUUUCCAGCACAAUGAAGCUCAAUUAAGAUGAAUGACAGGUAACAUGUACAUCAGAACAGCCACUUAUCAUGGUAUCAUUUUUCUGAAGAGAGAUGCCAUGAAAUAGCAUUAUCUUUGAGCAAAAUAUGUGCCCUGAGUGGCGAAAAUCUCCAAAUCAUACCUCAGAAAUCAAGACAGAGAGCAGGUAAAUGCUGUAAGUCAUAGCAAUUUUCUCUACAUAAGCGCUUACAUUACGGUGAAACUGCAAGGAGCCAUAGACUACUAGUAAUAGGCUCACAGCAAUUAUGAAGAUACAUAUUUAUAG
Eucalyptus grandis is the source of this 1143-nucleotide long non-coding RNA. RefSeq lists it as uncharacterized. The record is from RefSeq and is a predicted model, not a curated record. The transcript is spliced from 2 exons. NCBI's taxonomy places the organism in Eukaryota, Viridiplantae, Streptophyta, Magnoliopsida, Myrtales, Myrtaceae.